Long non-coding RNA from Chelmon rostratus (copperband butterflyfish), 791 nucleotides. RefSeq lists it as uncharacterized. Lineage: Eukaryota; Metazoa; Chordata; Actinopteri; Chaetodontiformes; Chaetodontidae. The record is from RefSeq and is a predicted model, not a curated record. The transcript is spliced from 3 exons.
CUCUGCAGAUAUCAGAUCAUAUUGGGGUUAAGUGCCUUGCUCAAGGGCACAUCAGCCAGCUGAUGGAGGGAGAGGGGAUACGCCACACCCAAGUUUGUCUGCCAGUCCAGUGGGGGAAUCAAACCGUAACAGCGAUGCUAGCCAUUCGACCGGGGACGGAGAGAAGAAGAUCUUACUGCAGUGGCUGAGGAAGCAGAUUGUGAAGCCGGGGUCCAAGAUGCACGCACUGCGGGCCUUCGAGCUGGGCCGGGACAGGGGGGUCAUUGCUGCUGCUCCUGCUGCUGCCUCCGUCGAGAUGGAGCACAAGAAGAUGACAUCAAAGACAAAGCACCUGGAGGGGGAGGCUGACAAGACAGUGUGUGUACAGCACUCAGCAUACUCCUGCCAACGUUUGAUAUGUCAGGUCAAAGAAAAGCAGGAAGACAAUGACUGACUCCCUGCAUUAAUACUGACGUGACAAUUCAAUGUUCUAUUGUACCAGGGCUGCCCUCUACCACCUCCACCUCCACCACCACCACCACCACCACCUCCAGUGCCUCCGCAGGAUCGACCAGGUGCACAAUCUACAGGAGGUAGAAGAGGGAGGAGAAGGACAGGGACGUCCCGUCCAAGGCCGAGGGCAGCACAUAGGAGAAGCCCGGAGCCCCCUGCGAUAUGUGCGGUGCCCCCAGAGGGCUGGAAAAAGGAUAUGGCUUCUACAGAGGGCAGUUUUUCUGUUGUCUGGAGGACUGGCCUGGGGGAAGACCACCACACCAGUGGCUGGAGGAGCAGCUCAGGCACAAUGAGGGGAA